Pelobates cultripes (western spadefoot toad) is the source of this 321-nucleotide non-coding RNA. Lineage: Eukaryota; Metazoa; Chordata; Amphibia; Anura; Pelobatidae. The record is from the annotation of a GenBank genome assembly.
AACAUAUAUUCCUGACACCAUAGUUGUGAAAACGCUAUUCACCCUGGCUUUAUGUGAUAAUGGCUAUGCCCCUUCCCUUUCAUGACACUGUCAAAAAGGUACCAAGCAUGGAUGUCAUUACAAUUAUGCCCCCCCCCUGGAAAAAUUUCUGCGGACGCCCAUGUCUGUAAUUGAUCAUCCUUGUGCAUGGUUUCUAUUGCCAAUACAAGGCACUAUCUGAGCAGGAUACUUUAGAUAUUUUUGGGUUGUCAGUUUGAUAAUUACCUACUUCGAGUGAAAGUUGGAAGCUAAUUUGUCAAAAAAGGAUCCAGGACAGAGAAG